Non-coding RNA from Triticum aestivum (bread wheat), 56 nucleotides. The record is from Rfam. NCBI's taxonomy places the organism in Eukaryota, Viridiplantae, Streptophyta, Magnoliopsida, Poales, Poaceae.
GCUCAGUUAGUAAAGCACAAGGCUCUUAACCUUGUGGACGUGGAUUCAAGCCCCAU